GCCAUACAAGCGAGAUACCCUGCUGGUAUGUCUGUGCUAUGCACAAGGGACCGAGAUUACUGGAUGACAAAAUCUAAGAUCAUCUUCGAUGUCUUCGUCGAGGAGAUGGCACAACAGAGGGUUAUGAGGCAAUUUGGUCUUCUGCAGUUGGAGCUACCUCCCCCUAUAGAGAACCCGCUGCCAGCACACAUCCACAGGACGACAAGGAAGGGCAUGAACAGGACAACUGCUGACUGGCUAGUUAGACUAGAGCCGUAUGUUAUAGAAUGGGAGACAGCAAACACAAAUCUAUGGCACGAGAAUCACAAUUUCGAUCUCGAUGAAUUCAA
Molecule: long non-coding RNA, 329 nt
Organism: Aegilops tauschii subsp. strangulata
Lineage: Eukaryota; Viridiplantae; Streptophyta; Magnoliopsida; Poales; Poaceae
Source: RefSeq, a predicted model, not a curated record